RNAcentral lists this microRNA precursor (94 nucleotides) under Branchiostoma floridae (Florida lancelet). Its description in RNAcentral is "mir-2060 microRNA precursor family". It matches the Rfam family "mir-2060 microRNA precursor family". Lineage: Eukaryota; Metazoa; Chordata; Leptocardii; Amphioxiformes; Branchiostomatidae. The record is from Rfam by way of RNAcentral.
GUGUAUUUGUGUGUGGAUAGUGUUCAGCACCAAGGACAUAUGUAUUUGCCUGUGUGUGAAUGAUAUUCAGCACCAAGGACAGGUGUGUUUACCU